Molecule: long non-coding RNA, 2094 nt
Organism: Papaver somniferum (opium poppy)
Lineage: Eukaryota; Viridiplantae; Streptophyta; Magnoliopsida; Ranunculales; Papaveraceae
Exons: 3
Source: RefSeq, a predicted model, not a curated record
UACGAGAAGCUAGGUUCGAAUCCUGCUGAGAACAUUUUUCGCGACUUCAUUUUCCGACGCUAUUAGGCACUUCAUUACCUCCUUGUGUUUUCCCUCCGCUAGAAACCCUUCCCUCUUCUUUCUCGGUUUCAUUCUUCUCGAUUGAAAUCUCUUCCCUCUUCUUUGUUCUUGACUUUAAUCAUCAAUUCCCAACAGUAACAUGAAUUGAUUGAAGUAAUUCCAGAUUGUUUCACAGAAAUCUCACAACAAAUACCCCAGAAGUCCAAAUCAAACCCAAAAUUUGGAGAGCGUUUGAGAAAUGGGUGAGCUGAUUGAAUUAACUUACUUCUUCGAUUACAUAAAAGUUGGAAAUCUCGAUUUGGGGUUCGGGCUUCCCGUUUCAGUUAGGGUUCCCAAGCUUUUCUCUUCACACAAUUUUCUAUCGGAAACUGUUGAACUGGUUUCAAGUUUCCUAGAACGAGAUUUCAAUUUUUGCAUACUUUCUCCCAUUCUUUCAUCGUCCUCAACUGAGUUCACACAAUUUCUACCAAAAAAAUUUGGUUUGAAUUUUUUCAGGCUUCAUGUUUGGUUCCCUUCACUCUUCCUAAUUAGAUUCUCUAACCCAACUUAUCAAUUUCCGGUUAAACGCAUUCUGGAACAAAUUUGCAAGCUAACUGGAUAUCCAUUCCUCUAAAGACUUGGUAAGAAAAGGCUAUAUAUAGUUUGAUAUUUUCAUCACAAUUUAUGAGCCUUAGUUGUUUGUGAAAAUGUCAAACAAAUUAUAAUUCAAUUUAAUGGGUUUUAUUUCCUUCGACAUUCCAGACUAAUUUAGCAGGGCAGCAUAUAAGUUGUGUAUAGUUUUAAAGACACAUAACCUUGAUUGAGCUGUUUGAGGUAAGAAUUGUGUUGGAAAUUUUUUGGUCAUCUUUGAUUGAGUUGUCUUUGUGUAUCUUUAUGUUUUAUAACAGGGAUAUGUGUGAUAGAAGAUGCUUAAGGUCCUAUUCGUUGGGGAUCAUAUUAGCAAAGCUGAAUCUGAAUUGUCUAUGGGGGAACAAUAUAAUCAGCAAUCAGCGCAUUCUGGGACAGAUUUACAUGCUAAUUGGAUAUUGGUUCCUCUAAAUACUUGGUAAGAAAAUGCUACAUAGAUUUUGAUCUUCUCAUCACAGUUUAUGAGCUUUAGGUACAUGUAUUUUGGUCUUCUCUAAUUUGUAGAAUUUUAUGAUCUGCCAGUCACAUGCAUCUCAAGAUAUAUCCCCAUUUAAGAACUUUUUUGAUCAAUGACUGGUAGAUCCGAGUAAGCACAAAAUCUUGGACACAUCCUAACUAAAUUCAGGCUCAAACAAUGUCUCAUUAAGUUCAAACUUUGAAUACUUCCAUAAAGGCAAAAUCUGGACAUAAAAUUGUGCCACUGGAUUAACAGUAAGAUACCUUAGAUGUCCCGAUUAUUGGUAGUCGUUAAAGUGGGAUUUGAUUUUUCAUAGAUUCUUGUUUCGUAUACAUUUGAAACAUUUUAAUAUUUUUUUUUCAAUUAGGCCAAAGUGAAUCAUGUGGUUUGUAUUCUUUGGAGACGCUAUGAAUAAAGGUUAUUAUCCUGAUUUAUACAAUCACUUUUAUUACUAUACUGAUUUAAAUAUUGAGUAUCAAGGAGGAGAUUGAACCAGCUAAGUAUUAAAUAAAAUGACGUAAUGUGGGUCAUGCUCUUAAGCUGUUCUGAAAACACUUCAAAAAAAGUAACCUUCUUCUGCAUUUAGUUUCAGAAAUUGGUGGUCAUCGGAUUGCAAGACAGAGUUCUUGAUACUUGAUGAAGGAGUCUCAGCAAAAUCAGUAUGGUGAAGGAAAUAGCUCAUGAUGUCAGGAUCAAAGCAGAUUCACCUAUUGAUUUUGAAGUGUAGAAACAAAUAAACAUUUAUAGAAGUUAGUCGGUGGUAUUUUAGUACGUGGUGCUGCUUUCGUGGGAGGACUUUUCCGCAAAAGUAUUUUAGUUUUUUAUCCUUAUAGCUUUUGUAACAUAACACAAGUCGGCAAGCACAUCCCACGUGCGUGUUAUACUAGUAUCACAAAAUAAAUAUACAUAAAUAUCACAAAUUUUUAUAUAUAAAUAUAAAUUUGAAUACU